RNAcentral lists this RNase P RNA (438 nucleotides) under Sphingobium sp. RNAcentral's name for it is "RNase P RNA component class A". It matches the Rfam family "Bacterial RNase P class A". From Rfam's summary of the family: Ribonuclease P (RNase P) is a ubiquitous endoribonuclease, found in archaea, bacteria and eukarya as well as chloroplasts and mitochondria. Its best characterised activity is the generation of mature 5'-ends of tRNAs by cleaving the 5'-leader elements of precursor-tRNAs. Lineage: Bacteria; Pseudomonadati; Pseudomonadota; Alphaproteobacteria; Sphingomonadales; Sphingobiaceae. The record is from RNAcentral.
CCAGAGGGUCGGGCGACCGCGACCUGCGAAAGCAGGGCGAGGAAAGUCCGGGCUCCACGAAACAACGGUGCCGGAUAACGUCCGGCGGGUCUUAGCCUUUCGGGGUGAGGGCCAAGGGACAGUGCAACAGAGAGCAGGUCGCCAAAGGCUAUAUGCCCUAAAGCUUCGGCGAGGCGACAGUGAAAGGGUGCGGUAAGAGCGCACCGCGCCCCCGGCAACGGCGGGCGGCAUGGUAAACCCCACCGGGAGCAAGACCGAAUAGGGAUGGCGUUGCAUAUUUUCGGAUAUGCAGGGGCGGUUUCGGCCCCGACCGUCCGGGUUGGUUGCUAGAGGCCGCAAGUAAUUGCGGCCCCAGAGGAAUGGUCGCCUAUCUGCCUCGCGUCCCUUAUGGGAUACGGUGGCGGUGGACAGAACCCGGCUUACAGACCCUCUGGCAAA